UACAAAGACAGAAAAUAAAAACUGAUUAACUUACAUGAACCAAUUAACUAUUUGAGCUUAAUUGAAUACAUAAGCUUAAUUGCAUUAUAUUUGGAAUGCAUUCUACUUGAAGAGCUUUGUCUUUAAUAUUGUGUAUCAUACCAAAAUUAUAUCCAAUACAAACCAAAUAUUUAUAAUGUUCAAAUUGAGAAGAAAAAUAAUCAAUUGUUGCUAAGGCACUCCAUGAAAGUAUCAUUUCA
This 239-nucleotide long non-coding RNA is filed under the name Lathyrus oleraceus (garden pea). RNAcentral's name for it is "Pisum sativum (pea) long non-coding RNA (PSAT_LNC008232)". The record is from RNAcentral. Lineage: Eukaryota; Viridiplantae; Streptophyta; Magnoliopsida; Fabales; Fabaceae.